ACACAUGCAAGUCGAACGAGAGAGAGGGAGCUUGCUUCCUCAAUCGAGUGGCGAACGGGUGAGUAACGCGUGAGGAACCUGCCUCAAAGAGGGGGACAGCAGUUGGAAACGACUGCUAAUACCGCAUAAGCCCACGGGUCGGCAUCGACCAGAGGGAAAAGGAGCAAUCCGCUUUGAGAUGGCCUCGCGUCCGAUUAGCUAGUUGGUGAGGUAAUGGCCCACCAAGGCAACGAUCGGUAGCCGGACUGAGAGGUUGAACGGCCACAUUGGGACUGAGACACGGCCCAGACUCCUACGGGAGGCAGCAGUGGGGAAUAUUGCACAAUGGGGGAAACCCUGAUGCAGCGACGCCGCGUGGAGGAAGAAGGUCUUCGGAUUGUAAACUCCUGUUGUUGAGGAAGAUAAUGACGGUACUCAACAAGGAAGUGACGGCUAACUACGUGCCAGCAGCCGCGGUAAAACGUAGGUCACAAGCGUUGUCCGGAAUUACUGGGUGUAAAGGGAGCGCAGGCGGGAAGACAAGUUGGAAGUGAAAUCUAUGGGCUCAACCCAUAAACUGCUUUCAAAACUGUUUUUCUUGAGUAGUGCAGAGGUAGGCGGAAUUCCCGGUGUAGCGGUGGAAUGCGUAGAUAUCGGGAGGAACACCAGUGGCGAAGGCGGCCUACUGGGCACCAACUGACGCUGAGGCUCGAAAGUGUGGGUAGCAAACAGGAUUAGAUACCCUGGUAGUCCACACCGUAAACGAUGAUUACUAGGUGUUGGAGGAUUGACCCCUUCAGUGCCGCAGUUAACACAAUAAGUAAUCCACCUGGGGAGUACGACCGCAAGGUUGAAACUCAAAGGAAUUGACGGGGGCCCGCACAAGCAGUGGAGUAUGUGGUUUAAUUCGACGCAACGCGAAGAACCUUACCAAGUCUUG
Molecule: ribosomal RNA, 919 nt
Filed under: uncultured bacterium
Lineage: Bacteria
Description: bacterial SSU rRNA
Rfam family: Bacterial small subunit ribosomal RNA
Source: RNAcentral